RNAcentral lists this ribosomal RNA (427 nucleotides) under uncultured bacterium. RNAcentral's name for it is "bacterial SSU rRNA". It matches the Rfam family "Bacterial small subunit ribosomal RNA", at positions 355 to 774 of the family's 1533-position model. The record is from RNAcentral.
UGGGGAAUUUUGGACAAUGGGCGAAAGCCUGAUCCAGCAAUGCCGCGUGAGUGAAGAAGGCCUUCGGGUUGUAAAGCUCUUUUGUCAGGGAAGAAACGGUGAAAGCUAAUAUCUUUUGCUAAUGACGGUACCUGAAGAAUAAGCACCGGCUAACUCUGUGCCAGCAGCCGCGGUAAUACAGAGGGUGCAAGCGUUAAUCGGAAUUACUGGGCGUAAAGCGCGCGUAGGUGGUUAGUUAAGUUGGAUGUGAAAUCCCCGGGCUCAACCUGGGAACUGCGUUUGUGACUGCAUAACUAGAGUACGGUAGAGGGGGAUGGAAUUCCGCGUGUAGCAGUGAAAUGCGUAGAUAUGCGGAGGAACACCGAUGGCGAAGGCAAUCCCCUGGACCUGUACUGACGCUCAUGCACGAAAGCGUGGGGAGCAAACA